AGUGAACGCUGGCGGUAGGCCUAACACAUGCAAGUCGAACGGCAGCACAGUAAGAGCUUGCUCUUACGGGUGGCGAGUGGCGGACGGGUGAGGAAUACAUCGGAAUCUACUUUUUCGUGGGGGAUAACGUAGGGAAACUUACGCUAAUACCGCAUACGACCUACGGGUGAAAGCAGGGGAUCUUCGGACCUUGCGCGAUUGAAUGAGCCGAUGUCGGAUUAGCUAGUUGGCGGGGUAAAGGCCCACCAAGGCGACGAUCCGUAGCUGGUCUGAGAGGAUGAUCAGCCACACUGGAACUGAGACACGGUCCAGACUCCUACGGGAGGCAGCAGUGGGGAAUAGUGGACAAUGGGCGCAAGCCUGAUCCAGACAUACCGCGUGGGUGAAGAAGGCCUUCGGGUUGUAAAGCCCUUUUGUUGGGAAAGAAAAGCAGCAGGUUAAUACCACGCUGUUCUGACGGUACCCAAAGAAUAAGCACCGGCUAACUUCGUG
Molecule: ribosomal RNA, 492 nt
Filed under: uncultured bacterium
Lineage: Bacteria
Description: partial 16S ribosomal RNA
Rfam family: Bacterial small subunit ribosomal RNA
Source: RNAcentral